RNAcentral lists this ribosomal RNA (425 nucleotides) under uncultured Pseudoflavonifractor sp. Its description in RNAcentral is "bacterial SSU rRNA". It matches the Rfam family "Bacterial small subunit ribosomal RNA", at positions 355 to 794 of the family's 1533-position model. The record is from RNAcentral. Lineage: Bacteria; Bacillati; Bacillota; Clostridia; Eubacteriales; Oscillospiraceae.
UGGGGAAUAUUGGGCAAUGGGCGAAAGCCUGACCCAGCAACGCCGCGUGAAGGAAGAAGGUCUUCGGAUUGUAAACUUCUUUUAUCAGGGACGAAGUAAGUGACGGUACCUGAUGAAUAAGCCACGGCUAACUACGUGCCAGCAGCCGCGGUAAUACGUAGGUGGCAAGCGUUAUCCGGAUUUACUGGGUGUAAAGGGCGUGUAGCCGGGAGGGCAAGUCAGAUGUGAAAUCCACGGGCUCAACUCGUGAACUGCAUUUGAAACUACUCUUCUUGAGUAUCGGAGAGGCAAUCGGAAUUCCUAGUGUAGCGGUGAAAUGCGUAGAUAUUAGGAGGAACACCAGUGGCGAAGGCGGAUUGCUGGACGACAACUGACGGUGAGGCGCGAAAGCGUGGGGAGCAAACAGGAUUAGAUACCCUGGUAGU